CCUACGGGUGGCAGCAGUGAGGAAUAUUGGUCAAUGGGAGAGAUCCUGAACCAGCCAAGCCGCGUGAGGGAAGAAGGCCCUAUGGGUUGUAAACCUCUUUUGUCGGAGAAAAAAACCCGGGACGUGUCCCGGACUGCGUGUAUCCGAAGAAAAAGCAUCGGCUAACUCCGUGCAAGCAGCCGCGGUAAUACGGAGGAUGCGAGCGUUAUCGGGAUUUAUUGGGGUUAAAGGGUGCGUAGGCGGUCCGUUAAGUCAGCGGUAAAAAUGCGGGGCUCAACCCCGUCGAGCCGUUGAAACUGGGAGUCUUGAGUAGGCGAGAGGUAGGCGGAAUGCGCGGUGUAGCGGUAAAAUGCGUAGAUAUCAAGAGGAACACCGAUUGCGAAGGCGACGUGCCGGAGCAAGACUGACGCUGAGGCGCGAAAGCGUGGGGAGCGAACAGGAUUAGAUACCCGAGUAGUC
Molecule: ribosomal RNA, 459 nt
Filed under: uncultured bacterium
Lineage: Bacteria
Description: partial 16S ribosomal RNA
Rfam family: Bacterial small subunit ribosomal RNA
Source: RNAcentral